This is a long non-coding RNA of Microtus ochrogaster (prairie vole), 3520 nucleotides long. RefSeq lists it as uncharacterized. The record is from RefSeq and is a predicted model, not a curated record. The transcript has 2 exons. Lineage: Eukaryota; Metazoa; Chordata; Mammalia; Rodentia; Cricetidae.
GGUUGGUGGAUCGGAGAAGGAGCGAAGAUGGCGGAGUGAGGCGUUUCCCGGGCAGCUGGCCUCCGGGCCCGGGGCGGGCCUCCCGCUUGAGGUGGAGUGCUUGUGCUGGACCGGGUGAGGAGUUUCUAUGUUGUCUUCUCAGUGGGCAUCCUGGUUCUUUCAUCCAGCCACUUCCCUAGUGGAGUGGGGAUGUUUUCUACAGAUACCUCCGUGGUUUGGAAUGGAGACUGCACCGAGAAGCCCAAGGGUGCAGCUGUCCUGCUGACUUCAGGAGGACACCAACCGGCCUGGCUAUUCUGCUGCACUUGGCUUCAGUAGAAAGACACCGUUUGCAAGAGGAAGGAAGAUGGUUAAUUUGAACAGGUGCUUAGGUUAUGCAUCGUGGACUCUUCCUUUUAAAGCUCCAAACAACAAAUCAAAUACCAAAUGUGGGUGACUUCAGGUUUUGUUUUGUUUUGUUUUAAGUCUGCCAGUUUUUUAACACUAUUAUAAGCACAGUAAAGACUAAUAGUAAAUUCCAAAUAUCAUUAUUAUUUGAGGUGAAAGAAACAUCUAAAUCCUGAUUUAUCCUUUGACAGAUUUCCUGGACGAAAACAAGUCCCCAGUAUGAUAAAAGCAAAAAGCAAGAAUGAUAUCAGGGUUGGUUUCAUAUGGGAGUGAAACCAUUGCAGUUUGUGUGCAGAUUCACAUUUUUAUAUGUAUAAAACCACAUUUUUUAAAUAAGAUUUUUCUCCUGGAAAAGAAAGCUGUCAUUUAUGAAAAGGCUUUGGACAGUUUGAUGGUCUUUAGUGUUUGGAUUUUGUCUGUUUUGCUUUUUCAUCCUUCUCAUGAAGGACCAGCUGGGCCUGCGGCUAGUUCCGAGUGGGAAGAGAAUAAGCUGGGGUGAUGCUUGCCUCAGGCUGUCUGUGCUUGUGUGGCUGAGGCAGCAAGAUCAGAAGUCCAGGUCCAGCUUGGGCCACAUGGAGAGACUCCAUCUCAAGAACAGCAGAAAAGAAAAAUAAAACACCACUCUUUUGUUUCUCGAGGUUGUAUUCUUGUGGGAUCACAUGUAUCAAUGAGACUUUGGUUUUCCAUGUGACUGUGACUGGAAAGAAAAUGGCGUGUGUGUUAUGUGAUGGACCUGAUAGUGUCACUUGCCUUCAACUUUGGGUAUUCAGGAGUGAAGGAAAAAUAACUCGGCUUAUAAAUCCUUUCUUCUAAGAAAAAGAAGCAACAAUGUCUUAUGUAGCAUCAUCUGACAUUUCAGCAUUUUUAAAUUAUGUACUUGCAUUUUUAUAAAAGCAUAAAUAACUUUUCCUUCAUCCCAAGAUGGGUACUUAGACAUUUAUUUUUCUAGGCGAUAACUUUAGGCUGAAAUUCUGGGACUCAGGUAAAUUUUCCCAGUUUGAAUUGAACUUUCUUACCAGAAAAUGGACCUCAGAAGCAAUGUUCCCAGUCCUAUGGUCAGUUCACUAUAUUCUUAGAAGAAAUUCAGGAUCUGAACAAAACUUCAAGUAAAAGCACGUCCAAUAAAAAGUAUGGAUCUUGUUGCCAGUCACUGUAGAUUUAAAGGAAAUUCAGGUUCGGGGAUGGAGAGACCUCAAGAAAACUAGUUCCCAUAAGAAAUGAUACAUGUUUGUUUUUUCCUUUAAGUAACAGUUAUGAGGAACCAUCAUGAAAACCUCUCUUUGCUUCCAAAUCAAAGAAGUCCAUUUUAUGGGAUGUCAGGCUUUUACAAGGGAGGGAACUGUUGUUUGCAGUGGUUGCCAGUAGAGAAGGAAUUUUAAGCUUGCAAGAUAACUUAGAAACAGGUGCUGUUAGAGCUGAUUUCUGGAACCAUUUCCCAGUGUUGUGAAUUUGAGUCAUAUAAAUGAUCAAAAGUAGGAAAUGUUGAACAAUCUAAUGGCUAGUCAAAUUGGACAACAAAUUUGAAUUUAUACUAAAAGCUUUUUUCAUAAAACACUUAUUAUAAAUAACUUUUUUUCUUUUAGUUUUCUGAAUCAGGGUUUCUGUGUAGCUUUGGAGCCUGUCCUGGAACUAGCUCUGUAGACCAGGCUAGUCUCGAACUCACAGAGAUCCACCUGCCUCUGCCUCCCAAGUGCUGAGAUUAAAGGCCUGCGUCACAACCACCCAGUUUAUAAAUAACUUUUUAGUGAGAUCAAACAAUGAUAAAGCUCUAGAGAAAAGAGUUAAAGGUAACCUAGAUUGCUGGACUUGGUAUCCCGCACCUUUGAGCCACAGUAUUUUGGGUGCUGAGGCAGGAGGAUUGGCCACAAGAUCAAGGCCAGCCUCAAUGACAGACCCGGUCUAAAAAUGAAGCAAAAAUAUAACCUAAAUUUUUCUCUUUAAGUACUCCAGCCACUUAUGUUUUCAUUUAGAAGAAAUGGAAGCCAGCUGGUGACUGAGAGCAUCUCAUAGAUGCCUGAUUCCUCCUACACCUUGCUUUUGGGCAACUUUGUGGGGUAAGGCCCACAGGCAGGGCUUUCACCACAAAGGCGAUGUCACCUUUGCUCCAGAUACUUCAGGUUUGUAGCCUAAACCUCCAAAUAUUGAGUGCACUUUGUCAAAGAUGCUCUUGUGUCCUGCAUUGUUAGCACCAGAUGGCAUUUUAAGCCUGGGGACUUUGCAGCUGUAGUUGCCUGGUGUGUGGUACAUUUCCAUUUUAUAGUCUUGCUUGGGUUUUCUUAAUAGCAGCAAAAACUACCAUUUUAGAGCUGUGCUUCCAUCUGUAGCCGUGCCUCCUCCCUUCUCCAUGUGAGCUGGCAGUUUUUCUUUUGGAGUUACAAAACAAAAACGGGAUAUGUGCAAUAUAAAUAUAUAUAUAUGUGUAUAUUUUAAUACUUGUGGACGAGUGUUACAAGUCGUUAAAGAACAACAAAAUCACCAAUGUCUUCCAUUUUGAGAUGUGUAUAGUUUUGUAAGCAGUAGUGUUUGGUAGCAUAUUGUAGUGCCAUGUUAGGGGUUAGUGCAUGAAUUUAGUAUCAUUUUUAAACUUCAGGAUGAAAUAUUGAUAAUAGCUAAUAGUGUAAAAAGAGUGGAAAAUCCUAGACCUUUGCUUUUCUCAUGUAUGAAAAUAAUGUAUUCUCCCUGGGGAUAGGAGAUAAAGGCCAAAACAACUAAUGUCUGAACAGAAAUGUGGGUUCACAUUGAAAAACAUUGUGCGCGGGGGAAAUGUUAGCCUUUCACGAGGUAUCUAGAAAUAACUGCCUUUGUAGCUUUUCAGUCCUCAAAGCAUGGCCUCAUCCCAUGAUUGUCUUGCUCUCUCAGUUUGAAGCUAGCUUGUUCUUAUUUUAUCGUCGUAUUGUAUGUCUUGGAUUCAUUUUCCCUAUUUUGUGUCCAGAGAAUUAUUUUCUACUUCGCAUGUCCAAGAUGCUGUGCUAAUUGCUUUGGAAUGAUUUAUUUGUGGCCAUUUCCUUUCCUGUUUGCAGCAUGUGUGCUAAUUGCAGAACCUUGUCAGCAGUUUGGAGUAUCCUGAACUCUAGGCUUUUUUUCUACUUUCCUUAUGGAAAUAAAGUAGUUGCUUUGUUUUGAAAAAGAAAGU